Long non-coding RNA from Anguilla rostrata (American eel), 626 nucleotides. RefSeq lists it as uncharacterized. The transcript has 2 exons. The record is from RefSeq and is a predicted model, not a curated record. NCBI's taxonomy places the organism in Eukaryota, Metazoa, Chordata, Actinopteri, Anguilliformes, Anguillidae.
GAAUUCACGUGCGCAAUGCGUGAGAUUAUGCGAAUCUCACGUGUACGUCGGUCACCGUUGACACCCGAGACCUUACUCCAGCUACCAAAACUCCCCGGCUGCCCUAAAAAAAAACCCAAGUCUUCCCUGCUCACGCCCACAUUCCGACCGCAGCCGCACAAGCUGUUCUCCAUUUGGCAAACCGCGGGAGCGCCGGGGAGCGUGCGGUUCAGUGUUCACAGCUCACGGCACGUCACCGGGCGUGGCCCUCACCAGGUCCAGGGUGGUGCUCUCCAGCACGUCCACCAGCUUCUCCAGCUUGGUGCUGCCCGUGAAGAUGAAGUCGUCGUCCACCCACAGGACGUACUUGGUGGUCACCUGGGAAACGGCCAGGUUCCGCCCCGCGAACCAGCCCUGCGGGGGAGGGUGGGAAAAGAGUCCGAAACACUGCCAGUCAUUAUGCUGUUCCUACGUUUUUUCAUUUAUCUCAAAAAAAAAGUGUGUGCAGCUGUUUCUCCGUUUCCUCUCCCUCAAACUCCCACAGUUCAUUGCUAAGUCUUUGUCUACCAUGUCUCGUGAAAUUCUUAAUGGGAAUCGUGUUACUAAUGUAGUGCCAAAUCAUAAAUUAAAAUUAAAUGAGAAGCCAA